AGGACGAACGCUGGCGGCGUGCUUAACACAUGCAAGUCAAGGGGGCCUAGCAAUAGGCAACCGGCGAACGGGUGCGUAACACGUGAGCAACCUGCCGAUUUGUGGGGAUAGCCGGCCCAACGGCCGGGUAAUACCGCAUAUGAUCUUUUGGGGGAGUCCCUGGGAGAUGAAACUUUCGAGGCAGAUCGAGGGGCUCGCGGCCUAUCAGCUAGUUGGCGGGUAAUGGCCCACCAAGGCAUCGACGGUAGC
This 249-nucleotide ribosomal RNA is filed under the name uncultured bacterium. RNAcentral's name for it is "partial small subunit ribosomal RNA". It matches the Rfam family "Bacterial small subunit ribosomal RNA", at positions 26 to 287 of the family's 1533-position model. The record is from RNAcentral.